UACGUAGGGUGCAAGCGUUGUCCGGAAUUAUUGGGCGUAAAGAGCUCGUAGGCGGUUUGUCGCGUCUGCUGUGAAAACUCAGGGCUUAACCCUGAGCCUGCAGUGGGUACGGGCAGACUAGAGUGUGGUAGGGGAGAUCGGAAUUCCUGGUGUAGCGGUGGAAUGCGCAGAUAUCAGGAGGAACACCGGUGGCGAAGGCGGGACUCUGGGCCGAUACUGACGCUGAGGAGCGAAAGCGUGGGGAGCGAACAGG
Molecule: ribosomal RNA, 253 nt
Filed under: uncultured bacterium
Lineage: Bacteria
Description: partial 16S ribosomal RNA
Rfam family: Bacterial small subunit ribosomal RNA
Source: RNAcentral